CUAGCCGUAAACGAUGGAUACUAGGCGUUGUGAGUAUCGACCCUCACAGUGUCGUAGCUAACGCGUUAAGUAUCCCGCCUGGGGAGUACGCGCGCAAGCGUGAAACUCAAAGGAAUUGACGGGGGCCCGCACAAGCGGUGGAGUAUGUGGUUUAAUUCGAUGCAACGCGAAGAACCUUACCAGGACUUGACAUGUCGCGAACCUCAGGGAAACUUGAGAGUGCCUUCGGGAGCGCGAACACAGGUGGUGC
This 250-nucleotide ribosomal RNA is filed under the name uncultured Chroococcidiopsis sp. Its description in RNAcentral is "partial 16S ribosomal RNA". It matches the Rfam family "Bacterial small subunit ribosomal RNA", at positions 796 to 1044 of the family's 1533-position model. Lineage: Bacteria; Bacillati; Cyanobacteriota; Cyanophyceae; Chroococcidiopsidales; Chroococcidiopsidaceae. The record is from RNAcentral.